GAUAUGGAAGUUUAAUUAAAUAUUUACUUUGAAAGUAAAAGAAGAGGUUUCCUCCCUUAUCU
This 62-nucleotide transfer RNA is filed under the name Franciscoloa pallida. RNAcentral's name for it is "tRNA-Ser". Lineage: Eukaryota; Metazoa; Arthropoda; Insecta; Psocodea; Menoponidae. RNAcentral also lists the same sequence under 1 other name. The record is from RNAcentral.